GAACCUAUAUAAGUAGGUAAUUUAUAUAACAUCAUAGCAGGUACAGAACUGCGGUCUUGACAACUUGCAUUCUAAAAGUUGCACUUUGGUCAUGCUUGGGGAUGUAAAAAUCUUACUGGCAAGUAUUUUAACUCGGAAGGGUUAUGAUGACUAUAUAAUAAUCAGACAUAGUACGCUAAGGUAGUUUGUCUAAAGGGAAACAGCCCAGAACAAGAGUUAAUAAGGUUCCAAAAUUUUUGUUAAGUGAAAAUAAGGUAGUUUCAAUCCAAUAUGCCCAGGAGAUAGGCUUAGAUGCGGCCAUUUUUUGAAGACCUCGUAACAGAGCACUGGAUGAGUAAAUUAUUUUUAUAAUUUAUAUUGAUAAAAGCACCCAAAAUUUAACGGAUCUAAACAAUAUACCGAGACCUUGUCCAUAUUUAUAUAUAUAUCUAAGUUGUAUAUAGUAUUUAUGGGGUAGCGGAACAUUGGGCAAAUAUAAGAUUUUUUCUUUUUAAGACUUAAGAUAAGAUAACCCAAGAGAUAAUGCUGACAUGAGUAACGAUAAAGGGAAUGAACUAUUCCCUCGCCUAAAACUUAUGGUAUUUACUUAAAGUAACGGCCUCUAAGUUUAUGAACCUAAAGGACUAAACGAUGAGAAAAUCUGCCACCCGGACCCGCACCCACGCCGGCGGAUAAAUAACCUUUUGCUAAAGUGGCAAGGUUCUGGAAAAUUUUAAGUGUUGCAUUAUGGAGAAUAGGGAAGACGCAAUCUCUUGCCUACCAUGGUGUAAAUAGACCGUACCUAGAUACUACCCCAAGUAAGUUAGUAGAGAAUACGAAGGCGUUUGAGUGAACAAUCAUUAAGA
RNAcentral lists this ribosomal RNA (845 nucleotides) under Umbilicaria angulata. RNAcentral's name for it is "partial large subunit ribosomal RNA". It matches the Rfam family "Bacterial large subunit ribosomal RNA", at positions 862 to 1710 of the family's 2925-position model. Lineage: Eukaryota; Fungi; Ascomycota; Lecanoromycetes; Umbilicariales; Umbilicariaceae. The record is from RNAcentral.